GACGAACGCUGGCGGCGUGCUUAACACGUGCAAGUCGAACGGAAAGGCCCUGCUUUUGUGGGGUGCUCGAGUGGCGAACGGGUGAGUAACACGUGAGUAACCUGCCCUUGACUUUGGGAUAACUUCAGGAAACUGGGGCUAAUACCGGAUAGGAGCUCCUGCUGCAUGGUGGGGGUUGGAAAGUUUCGGCGGUUGGGGAUGGACUCGCGGCUUAUCAGCUUGCUGGUGGGGUAGUGGCUUACCAAGGCUUUGACGGGUAGCCGGCCUGAGAGGGUGACCGGCCACAUUGGGACUGAGAUACGGCCCAGACUCCUACGGGAGGCAGCAGUGGAGAAUAUUGCACAAUGGGCGGAAGCCUGAUGCAGCAACGCCGCGUGCGGGAUGACGGCCUUCGGGUUGUAAACCGCUUUCGCCUGUGACGAAGCGUGAGUGACGGUAAUGGGUAAAGAAGCACCGGCUAACUACGUGCCAGCAGCCGCGGUGAUACGUAGGGUGCGAGCGUUGUCCGGAUUUAUUGGGCGUAAAGGGCUCGUAGGUGGUUGAUCGCGUCGGAAGUGUAAUCUUGGGGCUUAACCCUGAGCGUGCUUUCGAUACGGGUUGACUUGAGGAAGGUAGGGGAGAAUGGAAUUCCUGGUGGAGCGGUGGAAUGCGCAGAUAUCAGGAGGAACACCAGUGGCGAAGGCGGUUCUCUGGGCCUUUCCUGACGCUGAGGAGCGAAAGCGUGGGGAGCGAACAGGCUUAGAUACCCUGGUAGUCCACGCUGUAAACGGUGGGUACUAGGUGUGGGGUCCAUUCCACGGGUUCCGUGCCGUAGCUAACGCUUUAAGUACCCCGCCUGGGGAGUACGGCCGCAAGGCUAAAACUCAAAGGAAUUGACGGGGCCCCGCACAAGCGGCGGAGCAUGCGGACUAAUUCGAUGCAACGCGUAGAACCUUACCUGGGUUUGACAUGGAUCGGGAGCGCUCAGAGAUGGGUGUGCCUCUUUUGGGGUCGGUUCACAGGUGGUGCAUGGCUGUCGUCAGCUCGUGUCGUGAGAUGUUGGGUUAAGUCCCGCAACGAGCGCAACCCUUGUUCACUGUUGCCAGCACGUUAUGGUGGGGACUCAGUGGAGACCGCCGGGGUCAACUCGGAGGAAGGUGGGGAUGACGUCAAGUCAUCAUGCCCCUUAUGUCCAGGGCUUCACGCAUGCUACAAUGGCUGGUACAGAGAGUGGCGAGCCUGUGAGGGUGAGCGAAUCUCGGAAAGCCGGUCUCAGUUCGGAUUGGGGUCUGCAACUCGACCUCAUGAAGUCGGAGUCGCUAGUAAUCGCAGAUCAGCAACGCUGCGGUGAAUACGUUCCCGGG
This 1343-nucleotide ribosomal RNA is filed under the name uncultured bacterium. Its description in RNAcentral is "16S ribosomal RNA". It matches the Rfam family "Bacterial small subunit ribosomal RNA", at positions 28 to 1378 of the family's 1533-position model. The record is from RNAcentral.